This 493-nucleotide ribosomal RNA is filed under the name uncultured bacterium. Its description in RNAcentral is "bacterial SSU rRNA". It matches the Rfam family "Bacterial small subunit ribosomal RNA", at positions 28 to 524 of the family's 1533-position model. The record is from RNAcentral.
GAUGAACGCUAGCGGCAGGCCUAAUACAUGCAAGUCGAACGCUCAGUAGCAAUACUGGGAGUGGCGCACGGGUGCGUAACGCGUACACAAUCUACCUCUAAGCGGGGGACACCUCCUGGAAACGGGGAUUAAUACCGCAUAAUAUGCCGAAGUCGCAUGACUUUGGUAUUAAAGCAGCAAUGCACUUAGAGAUGAGUGUGCGUCCCAUUAGGUAGUUGGUGAGGUAACGGCUCACCAAGCCUAUGAUGGGUAGCCGGUCUGAGAGGAUGGUCGGCCACACGGGCACUGAGACACGGGCCCGACUCCUACGGGAGGCAGCAGUAAGGAAUAUUGGUCAAUGGUGGAAACACUGAACCAGCCAUGCCGCGUGGAGGAAUAAGGUCCUACGGAUUGUAAACUCCUUUUGACGAGGAAAAAAAUGUUAGAUUAUCUAAAUUUGACGGUACUCGUAGAAUAAGCACCGGCUAAACUCCGUGCCAGCAGCCGCGGUAAU